UUAAUGCCAACUAGUCUUGCUUCUUGUUCUGUAUAAUUGGCACCUGUUGUAAAGGAGGCAACAAAAAGUACUUAGCAAAAUGGGAAUGGAAAACAUGAUCAAGAUCCAUAAAACAAUUAACCUCUGAUUUCAAGAAGUAAUUAGAUAACAAUAACAUCAAUGAAAUGUUAUUCAGAUCAUGUUAAAUUAUCAUAUGCAGGUUGGGAUCUAACCAGUUCCCUCUUUCAGAAUUGG
RNAcentral lists this unclassified non-coding RNA (234 nucleotides) under Hevea brasiliensis (rubber tree). Lineage: Eukaryota; Viridiplantae; Streptophyta; Magnoliopsida; Malpighiales; Euphorbiaceae. The record is from RNAcentral.